UGGUCGAACGAUGAAGCCCAGCUUGCUGGGUGGAUUAGUGGCGAACGGGUGAGUAACACGUGAGUAACCUGCCCCUGACUUCGGGAUAACCACGAGAAAUCGUGGCUAAUACCGGAUAUGACACGUGCCUGCAUGGGUGUGUGUGGAAAGAUUUAUCGGUUGGGGAUGGGCUCGCGGCCUAUCAGCUUGUUGGUGGGGUGAUGGCCUACCAAGGCGACGACGGGUAGCCGGCCUGAGAGGGUGACCGGCCACACUGGGACUGAGACACGGCCCAGACUCCUACGGGAGGCAGCAGUGGGGAAUAUUGCACAAUGGGCGCAAGCCUGAUGCAGCGACGCCGCGUGAGGGAUGACGGCCCUUCGGGUUGUAAACCUCUUUCAGUAGGGAAGAAGCUCUUCGGGGUGACGGUACCUGCAGAAGAAGCGCCGGCUAACUACGUGCCAGCAGCCGCGGUAAUACGUAGGGCGCAAGCGUUGUCCGGAAUUAUUGGGCGUAAAGAGCUCGUAGGCGGUUUGUCGCGUCUGCUGUGAAAACGCAAGGCUUAACCUUGCGCCUGCAGUGGGUACGGGCAGACUAGAGUGCGGUAGGGGAGACUGGAAUUCCUGGUGUAGCGGUGGAAUGCGCAGAUAUCAGGAGGAACACCGAUGGCGAAGGCAGGUCUCUGGGCCGUUACUGACGCUGAGGAGCGAAAGCAUGGGGAGCGAACAGGAUUAGAUACCCUGGUAGUCCAUGCCGUAAACGUUGGGCACUAGGUGUGGGAUCCAUUCCACGGGUUCCGUGCCGCAGCUAACGCAUUAAGUGCCCCGCCUGGGGAGUACGGCCGCAAGGCUAAAACUCAAAGGAAUUGACGGGGGCCCGCACAAGCGGCGGAGCAUGCGGAUUAAUUCGAUGCAACGCGAAGAACCUUACCAAGGCUUGACAUACACCGGAAAAGUGCAGAGAUGUGCUCCCCGUAAGGUCGGUGUACAGGUGGUGCAUGGUUGUCGUCAGCUCGUGUCGUGAGAUGUUGGGUUAAGUCCCGCAACGAGCGCAACCCUUGUCCUGUGUUGCCAGCACGUUAUGGUGGGGACUCAUAGGAGACUGCCGGGGUCAACUCGGAGGAAGGUGGGGAUGACGUCAAAUCAUCAUGCCCCUUAUGUCUUGGGCUUCACGCAUGCUACAAUGGCCGGUACAAAGGGCUGCGAUACCGCGAGGUGGAGCGAAUCCCAAAAAGCCGGUCUCAGUUCGGAUUGGGGUCUGCAACUCGACCCCAUGAAGUCGGAGUCGCUAGUAAUCGCAGAUCAGCAACGCUGCGGUGAAUACGUUCUCGGGCCUUGUACACACCGCCCGUCACGUCAUGAAAGUCGGUAACACCCGAAGCCGGUGGCCCAACCCCUUGUGGGAGGGAGCUUCGAAGGUGACGCAGGGGGAUU
RNAcentral lists this ribosomal RNA (1412 nucleotides) under Georgenia satyanarayanai. RNAcentral's name for it is "bacterial SSU rRNA". It matches the Rfam family "Bacterial small subunit ribosomal RNA". Lineage: Bacteria; Bacillati; Actinomycetota; Actinomycetes; Allobogoriellales; Allobogoriellaceae. The record is from RNAcentral.